Long non-coding RNA from Mastacembelus armatus (zig-zag eel), 3798 nucleotides. Lineage: Eukaryota; Metazoa; Chordata; Actinopteri; Synbranchiformes; Mastacembelidae. The record is from Ensembl.
GGGGUGGAACAUGGUUUGAAUUUCUUAUAAAUGUGUGUGAUUUGUAUGGUUAUGGAGUGUGACAGUGUUUUUUCUUCUUGCCUUCCAGCUACCAACAGUUCAACAGAUGAAACCUGUCAUCACGCCUCGCUGGAUCAUUCCUACAGCUGCUCCUCCUGGCAACUUUACUAAUGGACUGCUCGACUUUGACCCCCCUGCUAAGGUCACCCCUCUACUCAAUGCAGAUGGGGGAGCUGCUCUCAUCCCAGCCCUCCCCCACCUUGCUCACACACAUAGCACCAUCUCCACCAGCGCUGUGGGUCAGCCACCAGCCUUGGAGAAUGGAGCCAAACCCAGAGGUCUCCUGACCACUGAGCUCUGAUGACGAAAUGAGCAGCCACCACCACACCAUUCAUUUCACUCACUGCUCUCCCACCUCAGCCCAUUACACUCUCAGUCAUCCACACACAAGCAAGCUGGGCCCUGUAAGCCUAACAAUGUGGAAAGCAGAAAGGAAAAGGCAGCUGACAAGUACCACAAUUCUAAGUGCAUCCAUGUUCAAGCAGAUUGAACAAAAUUAAUCAACCAUGCUGAGCCACGAUAUGACAUGAAGAUUAUUUUUUGUAAAACUGUUAAACAUUUAGUUCCAGUAGUGACAUCUUCAGUACUCUUACAAACCUUCCUGUUUGAGUGUCAGUGUUAGUAACCUGUCAUUUAUUUAAUCCAUCCAGUCAACCAAACCUCAGUGUAGCAGCCAACACCAUCGUCUUGUAGAUGACAAGUAAUGAAAGUGUUUGUUUGCUACAGGUCAAUUUGUGGCUCAUGCAUAAAAAUCCAACGUCUCAUGAAGUAUGUGCGGUGCGUUUCAUGAAAGCAUCCACCAUUGCUGUAUUACUUAACAAGCAGUGUUGCUGCCCCACCUGUUUUGGUCAUGAUGUUUUAUCACUGGCAAUGCAUAUCACUGGAUUCCUGCUACUCUGAGCUUUUCUGUACACUCACGUGUGAAGCUUCUGGAGUACAAUGGAAAGGACUGUAAAGACAAGUUGAUAAAGAGAGACAGUUAAAGAAAGGCCUUGACUUAAAAUGUUGAUUCUAAGAGAUAAACAACACCUGGACUGUGCAUGAUUUAUUGUGGAAAUGAUACUGUACUGUCCUGGUAGCACACUACAAACCUUUAUAAAUCUGGUCAGAUCUACAUGUGAAACUUGUUUUUUGUAGCCAGGUUAUUAAAACUGCACUGGAUUAUUUUUGCAACACUGGACCUUGUAAAAAUAUCUUUAUGAAGGAUGAUGACAAAGAUUACAGCUCUAAUUUUUCAACAGAUGUUUUUAUUGUCCCAGUCUUACUUAUUGGUCUGUUUUUAAUGUUUGUUUUUUUUUUUGUCCUUGGCAGUAAUUUUUACAUGUGCACAUGGCACCAUUAUCACGACAGACUAAACAUCACUGAUGAAAAGUAGUUCUGUGUCUCUGUUCAAACACUGUGCCCUUGCAGAAUCAUAGGUCAGAAUAUGAAGUUAUAUUUUGCUUUCACUUGCUGUGAAAGAAGUGGCACCUUGUGUAUCCACAUGAAUUUUAACUUCUUUUUCUUUUUUUUUUUAACAACUUAAAUGCCACAACUGUCAAUUGACUGGCUAGUUGCUGUUGACAAAAUCUGUGUCCAGUCUUUCUUAUCUAACAGGUAUCUGAAUUUAUUUUAGAAAGUACCUGACCCUCCACGUAUUAGCAUGUGGUAGCUACUACCCUGCCUUAUGUAAAAAUGAAUGUAUUCAAAGUUUCUCAUCCAAGAAUGCUGGAGAAGCCACAGUACAACUUGUUAGACAGUUGCUGAGCUAGUUUUUAACUGGAGGAAAACUUGUGAAAUAUUUUAAGUGGAAUUUGUACAUUCUUAAUUUUCUGAAUUAUUAAUCAAAAAUAUCACAUUGACUUUAAAAUGGUAGCAUUGUAGAUGUCACGCUUUUAGACUUUUUUAUCCUAUUCCCUGAAACAUCGUAAGUCUGGAGUGUCAGUCAAUUUAUGUCUGUAGUAUUUUUCAGUGUGAUGUUGAUUUCCUUAUUGUCUUAAACAAGGAACGCUGACUGUUUUACAAAGUCUUAGCAGUGAGUUAUUUCUGCUCCUACUCAGUGUAACUGUUCACAAAUGUCAUGUUGUCAAAAAGUAUUGGAGCAUACAGCAAUAAUGUGUUCACACUACAACGGCAUCAUCCGGCUGCAGAUUAGAAGUAGAUUUAUAUAUGUUUUUGAGAAGUAUGUUUGCAGUAUUGUUACUACAUACUGAGUCUCCAAUUUUAUAUAAACUUUUAUUUUUCUUCCUUGAGUACCUGAUACUAGUAAAGCUUUGCUGCAGUUGGAGUUAGUUGUUUUUUUGUUCUUUUUUUUUUUUGUUUUUUUUUUUUGAUCCAUUUAUUCUAAAAUGAUUUACCCCUCAGUGACUUACUGAAUUUAGGUACGACCAAAUAUUGUCUUGCUAUUUUACUGUGCACCAGAUAUGAUGUGGCCUUGUUAAAGCAGCUUUGAAAAGAUGGACCACUCAAAGGUAAAAUCAUCUCUUUUUGCAUUGCUAUUUAAAACCUCUCCUGUAUCACUGUACUGUCACAAUAAGUUUUAAAAGCAAUAAUGUAAAUGAGUUUACUUAUUAGUGUUGACAUUUGUUGUCUAAUGAAGAGCAUAACUGCCAUUUCAUGCCACUACAACCCUCAGAAGGUUUUAAUUUAAUCCUCGAUUGUGAAAGGUACUAUACUAAAAUAUGAAGAGGUGGGAAAACCCUUUCAAGAUGGCACAAGGCUCCAUGUUGCUCACUGCUGUAAAGAUUUAGUUUAGUUCAAGUUCCACCAAGCAGAUACCGUUGUUCCUGUGUGUGACUCAGUUUACCACUGGAUGGCAGUACAGCACCAUUUUCCUCCUUGGGGUUGAGAUGACAUCCUGCUGACUGCAUUAUAUUGGUCCUAACCUGAGUAGAGGUUUCUUUAGUUGUAACAUUGUUUAAUAUAGAAUAAUUUUUUUUAAUCUGAUAUAUAAUUAAAGCCUUCAAAACAGACCCAUCAUAGAUUUAAACCUAAGAUUCCAAUGUAUAUUGUUUUUUGACUAUACUUUGCCAUUUUUAUAAAUCAGUCUGAUACUUGUGGGCUGCAGAUUAGUGUCUUGUUUGUUGAGAAAAGUCCAUUAAUCAGAUUUAUUGUGAACAAUGUUUAUAUCGGACAUGGGUUUUUAGUGAGAGAAGAAUGGUCUUAGAGGAGUGUGCAGAAAUAAUGCUUAUCUCCCAGUUCUGUUCUUUCAAGUUACUUAAGCCACUUUUUUCAUAUUGACAAAUUAACUCUUCAGUUUCUUCAUUAACCAAAAACUAAACAAAAUAUACAAUCUGUACUGAACUGAAAGCACUCUGCUGGUAUUUGUGAAUUGUCAUAUUGCUUUAUAUUUGAAUGCAGUGACUCGAAAUUGAUUGACUGCAACUGUUCAAUCCAUAGUUGACCGUCAUUAAACAGCAGAACUGCCUACAGCUCAAUAACUCAGCCAGGACUGCUCCCCUCAGCAGAUGGGCUGACUUUCCUCCACCUUCCAAAUGAAUAAUUGAUUACGUACAUGGACCUUAUGCCAGGUCAUGAUUGCUUAAGCAUGCUCAAAGCUCUGGGUGGAUUCGUGGAGAUUUGGCGCUGGGCCGAUGCCCUGAUGUCACUAGCUCAGAACUACCUAACAGCAAAAAUACCAUGUCCUCUCUAAAAUUGAUUUAAAUCAUAAAUCAGAUUUUUUUUUGUGAAAAAUCUGUUUGUUUUUUAGGGCAUAUUGCCCAGCCCUAGAAGAUAUGAAACAGCAACAACAGAAAGGGG